CAGGGAUUGCCUCAGUAACGGCGAGUGAAGCGGCAACAGCUCAAAUUUGAAAGCUGGCUCCUUCGGGGCCCGCGUUGUAAUUUGUAGAGGAUGCUUCGGGCGCGGCGCCGGUCUAAGUUCUUUGGAACAAGACGUCAUGGAGGGUGAGAAUCCCGUAUGUGACUGGUGGCCUGUGCCCAUGUGAAGCUCCUUCGACGAGUCGAGUUGUUUGGGAAUGCAGCUCAAAAUGGGAGGUGUAUUUCUUCUAAAGCUAAAUAUUGGCCAGAGACCGAUAGCGCACAAGUAGAGUGAUCGAAAGAUGAAAAGCACUUUGGAAAGAGAGUUAAACAGUACGUGAAAUUGUUGAAAGGGAAGCGCUUGCAAUCAGACUUGCGCGGCGUCGAUCAACCUGGGUUCUCCCGGGUGCACUCGGCGCCGCUCAGGCCAGCAUCAGUUUCGGCGGUGGGAUAAAGGUCCAGGGAACGUGGGUCGCCUCGGCGACCGUUAUAGCCCUGGGCGCAAUGCCGCCUGCCGGGACUGAGGACCGCGCUUCGGCUAGGAUGCUGGCGUAAUGGUUGUAAGCGACCCGUCUUGAAACACGGACCAAGGAGUCUAACAUUUGUGCGAGUGUUUGGGUGUCAAACCCAUACGCGUAAUGAAAGUGAACGGAGGUGAGAACCCUUAAGGGUGCAUCAUCGACCGAUCCUGAUGUCUUCGGAUGGAUUUGAGUAAGAGCAUAACUGUUGGGACCCGAAAGGUUAGUACAUCCUCCCCCUAUUUUCUUUUUUAUCUACCACCUUUUAGAACCGCAUACUAACUUUAUCUCCCACAGAUGGCGAACUAUACUUGAAUAGGGUGAAGCCAGGGGAAACCCUGGUGGAGGCUCGCAGAGGUUCUGACGUGCAAAUCGAUCUUCAAAUUUGGGUAUAGGGGCGAAAGACUAAUCGAGCCAUCUAGUAGCUGGUUCACGCCGAAGUUUCCCUCAGGAUAGCAGUGUUGUAUUCAGUUUUAUGAGGUAAAGCGAAUGAUUAGAGGCCUUGGGGUUGAAACAACCUUAACCUAUUCUCAAACUUUAAAUAUGUAAGAAGU
RNAcentral lists this ribosomal RNA (1068 nucleotides) under Lophodermium herbarum. RNAcentral describes it as "eukaryotic LSU rRNA". It matches the Rfam family "Eukaryotic large subunit ribosomal RNA", at positions 69 to 1081 of the family's 3401-position model. The record is from RNAcentral. Lineage: Eukaryota; Fungi; Ascomycota; Leotiomycetes; Rhytismatales; Rhytismataceae.